This 360-nucleotide ribosomal RNA is filed under the name uncultured bacterium. RNAcentral's name for it is "partial 16S ribosomal RNA". It matches the Rfam family "Bacterial small subunit ribosomal RNA", at positions 338 to 695 of the family's 1533-position model. The record is from RNAcentral.
CCUACGGGUGGCAGCAGUGAGGAAUAUUGGUCAAUGGGCGCGAGCCUGAUCCAGCCAAGUCGCGUGAGGGAUGAAGGUUCUAUGGAUCGUAAACCCCUUUUAUAAGGGAAUAAAUUGUGGGAAGUGUCCUAUAUUGUAUGUACCUUAUGAAUAAGGAUCGCCUAGCACCGUGCCAGCAGCCGCGGUAAUAUGGAGUCACCGAGCGUUCUCCGGAUUUAUUGGGUUUAAAGGGCGCGUAGGGGGCUUUUUAAGUCAGCGGUGAAAGUCUGGGGCUCAACCAUAGAAUUGACUUUGAAACUGGGGGGCUAGAGUAUGUUUGAGGCAGGCGGAAUGCGAGGUGUAGCGGUGAAAUGCUUAGAU